GUUUAAUGGAAAUGAAUUAUUGUGGUAUCUGUGCAGUCUCUUAAAUCCAUAUGUUAAUAUUCAUACAUUCUGCAUGCAUAUGAUCAUACUAGAGCAGUAUUAAUUGCUUGGGUUUAUAGCUCAAUCGAGUGGCUUUUUAGUUCAUUAUUAUAAAUUGGCUUACUGUGUCAUUUUUGUGAGUUUCCUACAUCAUUUGCAUUAUCAGGAGUUAAACUUUGCUUAAUUAUGCAUUUUUUUACUUGUAUUAAUCCUAGUGUAAAUUUUUGCAGCACUUCCAAUAUCAUCUCUCUUU
Molecule: unclassified non-coding RNA, 292 nt
Filed under: Hevea brasiliensis (rubber tree)
Lineage: Eukaryota; Viridiplantae; Streptophyta; Magnoliopsida; Malpighiales; Euphorbiaceae
Source: RNAcentral